RNAcentral lists this ribosomal RNA (1482 nucleotides) under Klebsiella pneumoniae. RNAcentral's name for it is "partial 23S ribosomal RNA". It matches the Rfam family "Bacterial large subunit ribosomal RNA", at positions 1271 to 2737 of the family's 2925-position model. The record is from RNAcentral. Lineage: Bacteria; Pseudomonadati; Pseudomonadota; Gammaproteobacteria; Enterobacterales; Enterobacteriaceae.
UGCUGGAGGUAUCAGAAGUGCGAAUGCUGACAUAAGUAACGAUAAAGCGGGUGAAAAGCCCGCUCGCCGGAAGACCAAGGGUUCCUGUCCAACGUUAAUCGGGGCAGGGUGAGUCGACCCCUAAGGCGAGGCCGAAAGGCGUAGUCGAUGGGAAACAGGUUAAUAUUCCUGUACUUGGUGUUACUGCGAAGGGGGGACGGAGAAGGCUAUGUUAGCCGGGCGACGGUUGUCCCGGUUUAAGCAUGUAGGCUGGUUGUCCAGGCAAAUCCGGAUAAUCAAGGCUGAGGUGUGAUGACGAGGCACUACGGUGCUGAAGUAACAAAUGCCCUGCUUCCAGGAAAAGCCUCUAAGCAUCAGGUAACAUCAAAUCGUACCCCAAACCGACACAGGUGGUCAGGUAGAGAAUACCAAGGCGCUUGAGAGAACUCGGGUGAAGGAACUAGGCAAAAUGGUGCCGUAACUUCGGGAGAAGGCACGCUGGUGUGUAGGUGAAGUCCCUGCGGAUGGAGCUGAGACCAGUCGAAGAUACCAGCUGGCUGCAACUGUUUAUUAAAAACACAGCACUGUGCAAACACGAAAGUGGACGUAUACGGUGUGACGCCUGCCCGGUGCCGGAAGGUUAAUUGAUGGGGUUAUCCGUAAGGAGAAGCUCUUGAUCGAAGCCCCGGUAAACGGCGGCCGUAACUAUAACGGUCCUAAGGUAGCGAAAUUCCUUGUCGGGUAAGUUCCGACCUGCACGAAUGGCGUAAUGAUGGCCAGGCUGUCUCCACCCGAGACUCAGUGAAAUUGAACUCGCUGUGAAGAUGCAGUGUACCCGCGGCAAGACGGAAAGACCCCGUGAACCUUUACUAUAGCUUGACACUGAACAUUGAGCCUUGAUGUGUAGGAUAGGUGGGAGGCUUUGAAGCGUGGACGCCAGUCUGCGUGGAGCCAACCUUGAAAUACCACCCUUUAAUGUUUGAUGUUCUAACGUUGGCCCCUUACCGGGGUUGCGGACAGUGUCUGGUGGGUAGUUUGACUGGGGCGGUCUCCUCCCAAAGCGUAACGGAGGAGCACGAAGGUUAGCUAAUCCUGGUCGGACAUCAGGAGGUUAGUGCAAUGGCAUAAGCUAGCUUGACUGCGAGCGUGACGGCGCGAGCAGGUGCGAAAGCAGGUCAUAGUGAUCCGGUGGUUCUGAAUGGAAGGGCCAUCGCUCAACGGAUAAAAGGUACUCCGGGGAUAACAGGCUGAUACCGCCCAAGAGUUCAUAUCGACGGCGGUGUUUGGCACCUCGAUGUCGGCUCAUCACAUCCUGGGGCUGAAGUAGGUCCCAAGGGUAUGGCUGUUCGCCAUUUAAAGUGGUACGCGAGCUGGGUUUAGAACGUCGUGAGACAGUUCGGUCCCUAUCUGCCGUGGGCGCUGGAGAAUUGAGGGGGGCUGCUCCUAGUACGAGAGGACCGGAGUGGACGCAUCACUGGUGUUCGGGUUGUCAUGCCAAUGGCA